UACAGAGGGCGCAAGCGUUAUUCGGAUUCACUGGGCAUAAAGAGCACGUAGGCGGCUACGUAAGUCGGAUGUGAAAUCCCGCGGCUCAACCGCGGAAUGGCAUCCGAUACUGCGUGGCUCGAGGUCGGAAGGGGUAAGCGGAACUCCAGGUGGAACGGUGAAAUGUGUAGAUAUCUGGAGGAACACCGGUGGCGAAGGCGGCUUACUGGUCCGAAUCUGACGCUGAGGUGAGAAAGCUAGGGGAGCGAACGGG
RNAcentral lists this ribosomal RNA (253 nucleotides) under uncultured bacterium. Its description in RNAcentral is "partial 16S ribosomal RNA". It matches the Rfam family "Bacterial small subunit ribosomal RNA", at positions 524 to 776 of the family's 1533-position model. The record is from RNAcentral.